AUUGAACGCUGGCGGCAUGCUUUACACAUGCAAGUCGAACGGCAGCGCGGGCUUCGGCCUGGCGGCGAGUGGCGAACGGGUGAGUAAUGCAUCGGAACGUGCCCAGUCGUGGGGGAUAGCCCGGCGAAAGCCGGCUUAAUACCGCAUACGACCUGAGGUUGAAAGCGGGGGUCCGAAAGGCCUCGCGCUAUUGGAGCGGCCGAUGUCGGAUUAGCUAGUUGGUGGGGUAAAGGCUUACCAAGGCGACGAUCCGUAGCUGGUCUGAGAGGACGACCAGCCACACUGGGACUGAGACACGGCCCAGACUCCUACGGGAGGCAGCAGUGGGGAAUUUUGGACAAUGGGGGCAACCCUGAUCCAGCCAUGCCGCGUGCGGGAAGAAGGCCUUCGGGUUGUAAACCGCUUUUGUUCGGGAAGAAAUCCUCUGGGCUAAUACCCCGGGGGGAUGACGGUACCGGAAGAAUAAGCACCGGCUAACUACGUG
RNAcentral lists this ribosomal RNA (484 nucleotides) under uncultured bacterium. RNAcentral's name for it is "partial 16S ribosomal RNA". It matches the Rfam family "Bacterial small subunit ribosomal RNA", at positions 28 to 507 of the family's 1533-position model. The record is from RNAcentral.